AUGUCCACUAACGUUAUGUCGGACCCAGGGAGGCUGAACAAAGUGCUGAAGUACAAGUCCCUGCCAGUGUCACCCGGCCUCGGACCACCCGACACUGGACCACAUGAACCUGCUUCGGUUCGAUCUUCGGCAUGUGCAGCCUCCUGCUCAAGCUCAAGUGGUGUGCCUGGGUCGCUGUCUACUGCUCCUUCCUCAGCUUGGCCAACUCCCAGAGCUCUGAGGACGCUAAGCACAUGAUGAGUAGCCUCGCACUGUCCAUCUCUGCCGUGGUGAUGUCAUAUCUGCAGAACCCUCAGCCCAUCAUGCCCCCCUGGUGAUGUCAUCCUAGGACCACUCUAUCCACCUUCCCCCAGGCCUGGCCCCUGGCUGCUCAGCCUUCUGCCCUCAGCUGCGGACCUGGGCUGCCCUGGGUGACGUGGUCUCGGCACCCACAGUGAGAUGGAGGGAAGCUGAUGCUUUUCAUGGGAUUCCACUUCUGCCCGGGCAGAGAGGGUUACCCUAGGCCUACCCCUCCCGCCUGCCUUCCCAACCCCGCCUGCUGCUGGGGGAGAUGCUGUCCAUGUUUCUAGGUGUAUCCACUCCUUUUUUUGUUCAAACCAGUUAAUAAUAAAGUUUUGCAUUCCAGCAAC
This is an RNA transcript of Neomonachus schauinslandi (Hawaiian monk seal), 629 nucleotides long. It is a transcript of the gene named PAT complex subunit Asterix-like, with no coding region annotated. The record is from RefSeq and is a predicted model, not a curated record. The transcript has a single exon. NCBI's taxonomy places the organism in Eukaryota, Metazoa, Chordata, Mammalia, Carnivora, Phocidae.